Molecule: long non-coding RNA, 447 nt
Organism: Triplophysa dalaica
Lineage: Eukaryota; Metazoa; Chordata; Actinopteri; Cypriniformes; Nemacheilidae
Exons: 7
Source: RefSeq, a predicted model, not a curated record
GUUUUUUCCUUCCUUCUUUGAAUCGCGUUCAUCAGAGAUUGUGAAGUUGGAGUCUAUUUCACCCACCAUGAUGUCCAUCUAUCCACGUUGCCGCAGAGGUCUGAUGGCGCAGAUGUGGUUGACCGUGUCUUCAGAAGGAUGAGUUGAGUGAACAACUGGGAAAGAUUUGCUUCAGUCCAUAGUUGUGUUAGGAUGAUGUGAAGGACUGCAGUAUGCCGCCUCGCAGAUGGCAGUGAGAUGAGAUCACUUCCUGAAAGGACUCUAGUAAGCUUGAGGUGACGACAUGGGAUCUCUGGAAUGGGAUGAUUCAAUGCCAGGUGUGAGCUUCACCUGGAUCUGAAGGAUGCAACAUGAAUGCCGUUCUGUGCGGUUUCAAGUGGACUGGAAUUUGUGAACAGCCUUUAGGCAGUUUUCUUUGUUUCAAUAAAACGCAAUCUAGAAGUUGAA